Acanthopagrus latus (yellowfin seabream) is the source of this 592-nucleotide long non-coding RNA. RefSeq lists it as uncharacterized. The record is from RefSeq and is a predicted model, not a curated record. The transcript has 3 exons. Lineage: Eukaryota; Metazoa; Chordata; Actinopteri; Spariformes; Sparidae.
UUUAGGUGCAAUCCCGUGGGGGAGAAGCGCACUUGGCAGCAGCUUAUGAUGAAACAUAAAAACAUUGUUCAAACAGCCAACAGAAAGAAGGCAGAUGCCUAUGAAACGGGUGGUAGCCCAGCACCACCACCCCUAACGGAGGCAGAGGAGCUGGCCCUAAGCCAGAAUUUAGGAUGGCCAGUGGCUAAAGGAAUACCUGAAGGGAGCUCAUCCUCUGAGAGACCUUGUAACUGUACAAGUCUUUAGUCAAAUGGUAGUUUAAAUAUACUGAAACGUAUCACUCAUCUAGGAUUAAGAGUAUGAGGAAACUGUAUCUGCUGCCUUUACAGAGGGGGAUCCAGAAAGGCCUAUAGAGGGCAUGGCUGGGCAGCAGCAGGAUGGUCCCUCAACUUCCACUGCACAGAUUGACACAAUGAGAUUCAUUCUGUGGAAUUCAUGUGCAACUGUAUAAUGUCCUCCUUGUAUGUAUUCCCAGUUACCAGUCAAAGACAUUUACAAAAUUCACCUGCUGAAAUUUUUUUUUAAAAAAACUGACAAAGAAAUGCAGUACUUGGACAGCCGGAUUAGGCGGGCAGACCUAGAAAUUGAAAUA